GGGCUUGUAGUUUCAAUGGUAAAACAUCGCUCUCCAAAAGCGAGGUUCCGCGUUCGAGUCGCGGCGAGCCCG
Molecule: transfer RNA, 72 nt
Filed under: Candidatus Zambryskibacteria bacterium RIFCSPHIGHO2_02_38_10.5
Lineage: Bacteria; Candidatus Zambryskiibacteriota
Also listed under: 7 other names
Description: tRNA-Trp
Rfam family: tRNA
About the family: Transfer RNA (tRNA) molecules are approximately 80 nucleotides in length. Their secondary structure includes four short double-helical elements and three loops (D, anti-codon, and T loops). Further hydrogen bonds mediate the characteristic L-shaped molecular structure. tRNAs have two regions of fundamental functional importance: the anti-codon, which is responsible for specific mRNA codon recognition, and the 3' end, to which the tRNAs corresponding amino acid is attached (by aminoacyl-tRNA synthetases). tRNAs cope with the degeneracy of the genetic code in two manners: having more than one tRNA (with a specific anti-codon) for a particular amino acid; and 'wobble' base-pairing, i.e. permitting non-standard base-pairing at the 3rd anti-codon position.
Source: RNAcentral